RNAcentral lists this ribosomal RNA (854 nucleotides) under Leuconostoc mesenteroides. RNAcentral describes it as "bacterial SSU rRNA". It matches the Rfam family "Bacterial small subunit ribosomal RNA", at positions 41 to 876 of the family's 1533-position model. Lineage: Bacteria; Bacillati; Bacillota; Bacilli; Lactobacillales; Lactobacillaceae. The record is from RNAcentral.
GGCGUGCCUAAUACAUGCAAGUCGAACGCACAGCGAAAGGUGCUUGCACCUUUCAAGUGAGUGGCGAACGGGUGAGUAACACGUGGACAACCUGCCUCAAGGCUGGGGAUAACAUUUGGAAACAGAUGCUAAUACCGAAUAAAACUUAGUGUCGCAUGACAAAAAGUUAAAAGGCGCUUCGGCGUCACCUAGAGAUGGAUCCGCGGUGCAUUAGUUAGUUGGUGGGGUAAAGGCCUACCAAGACAAUGAUGCAUAGCCGAGUUGAGAGACUGAUCGGCCACAUUGGGACUGAGACACGGCCCAAACUCCUACGGGAGGCUGCAGUAGGGAAUCUUCCACAAUGGGCGAAAGCCUGAUGGAGCAACGCCGCGUGUGUGAUGAAGGCUUUCGGGUCGUAAAGCACUGUUGUAUGGGAAGAACAGCUAGAAUAGGAAAUGAUUUUAGUUUGACGGUACCAUACCAGAAAGGGACGGCUAAAUACGUGCCAGCAGCCGCGGUAAUACGUAUGUCCCGAGCGUUAUCCGGAUUUAUUGGGCGUAAAGCGAGCGCAGACGGUUUAUUAAGUCUGAUGUGAAAGCCCGGAGCUCAACUCCGGAAUGGCAUUGGAAACUGGUUAACUUGAGUGCAGUAGAGGUAAGUGGAACUCCAUGUGUAGCGGUGGAAUGCGUAGAUAUAUGGAAGAACACCAGUGGCGAAGGCGGCUUACUGGACUGCAACUGACGUUGAGGCUCGAAAGUGUGGGUAGCAAACAGGAUUAGAUACCCUGGUAGUCCACACCGUAAACGAUGAACACUAGGUGUUAGGAGGUUUCCGCCUCUUAGUGCCGAAGCUAACGCAUUAAGUGUUCCGCCUGG